CGUACGAGUAUCGUGUUUGUUGAUAAACGAAACUACGACCUAACCUAUUCCGCAAAGCCGGAGGCCCCCGACGGCUAUAAAUAAAAGAGGGUAUCUGCGAAACACGGUACGCAAAUUUUUGU
Molecule: non-coding RNA, 122 nt
Filed under: Pseudomyrmex gracilis
Lineage: Eukaryota; Metazoa; Arthropoda; Insecta; Hymenoptera; Formicidae
Source: RNAcentral